GUAAGGCACUCUGGAGAGACCUUUUCAUUAAGGCGCCGAAGGGGAAACGCGCUGUGCUGCGCCAUCAGGCCAGUCCAAAGCGCGCUACAACUCUCAGGCAAAAGGACAGAGGGCGACAA
RNAcentral lists this non-coding RNA (119 nucleotides) under Advenella kashmirensis. RNAcentral describes it as "Glycine sequence". It matches the Rfam family "Glycine riboswitch aptamer". Rfam says of the family: This family represents the bacterial glycine riboswitch. Lineage: Bacteria; Pseudomonadati; Pseudomonadota; Betaproteobacteria; Burkholderiales; Alcaligenaceae. The record is from RNAcentral.